GGUAAGGUGGCCGAGUGGUUAAGGCGUUGGAUUUAAGUCCCAAUGACGCAAGUCGCGCGAGUUCGAUCCUCGCCCUUACCA
Transfer RNA from Aspergillus bombycis, 81 nucleotides. It matches the Rfam family "tRNA". Rfam says of the family: Transfer RNA (tRNA) molecules are approximately 80 nucleotides in length. The record is from Rfam. Lineage: Eukaryota; Fungi; Ascomycota; Eurotiomycetes; Eurotiales; Aspergillaceae.